This 1300-nucleotide long non-coding RNA is filed under the name Homo sapiens (human). RNAcentral describes it as "long intergenic non-protein coding RNA 1255". Lineage: Eukaryota; Metazoa; Chordata; Mammalia; Primates; Hominidae. The record is from RNAcentral.
GCAGGUCCAAACCACUGGUAGCAGCCCCUGGUAUAUCCAGGACAUCAGCACAUAGAACCAGUGAAAGGGUCCUCCCUCAUAGUGACGCAUGUCAUAGACUCAGAUUUAUACAAACAAAUGCUGAGCAAACCAUGAAGAGUCUCUGGUAUUUUCAACAAUAUCAUCACAGAGGAACUGUAUUGAUUUCCUUGAAUUCUUGACCAAGACUACAAAUGUAGCCCAUUUGACAUCGAAAACAUUGGGACAGGUGUGAGAGUGAGGAAAAUGGGGAGAAAAAAGAACUUUGAAGACAAGGAUUUGAAGUUAGCAUGAAGCAUGGAAAGGAGGAAGGGCAAGCUUUCUGCAGUGAGGACAGUGCCUGCCAGAGAAAACCAGAUCCUGGGGAGGGGUUUCUCCAGAAAGAGAAAGUCAAAGCUGCAGGUAGGCUCUGGAGACAAGGAGCUCGCAUGCAGUGAAGGUGGCGGCCACAUUGAGAAAUCACUCCAGGCUGAAGGACAUGCACCAAAGGCGGGAGGGGUGGCACCAUGGACAGAGCUUCGGAUGGGUGCAGGUGGGGCUAAGAAGGCAGCAUGGGGCAGAUGCUGCAAGUAUGGAAGCCAGGACACGAGCUUCCUUCCAACCACCAAAGGGCAACUCACAAGCAAAAUUCUUUCCUAAUGCUUCACCACGUUUUUUUUCUUUUUUAGACAGAUCUCACUCUGUUGCCCAGGCUGGAGUGCAGUAGUGCAGUCACAGCUCACUGCAGCCUCAAACUCCUGGGCUGAAAGGAUCCUGGCACCUCAGCCUCCUGAGUAGCUGGGACUACAGGUGUGCGCCAUCAUACCCAGCUAAUUUUUUUAUUUUUUGCAGAUACGGGGUCUCCCUAUGUUGCUUAGGCUGGUCUUGAGCUCCUAGCCUCAAGUCAUUCUCUUACCUUGGCCUCCCAAAGUGCUGGGAUUACAGGUGUGAGCCAUGGUGCCUGGCGACCUCACCAUUUUUGCUGACUGAAUCACUUGACUAACCUAACUAUAGCUUGCUGCUGAAGAUGCUGGCAACCUAGUAGACAAUACGUCAAGAUGUGAGGAUGCUCCAUAGUAAUGUAAUACCUUCCAUUCAACCAAGGUUAAAAGUGUCAACUAAAUGCUAAUGUCUCCACCAACCACAGAUGGGGUUUGCAGGAGCAAUGGCUGUAGGGACACUAAGAUUUCACCCUCCAGAAGACAGCAUCUUCCUGUGCCAUGGCUAGAUCACCAGCUACCCACAGACAGCCUGAACUCCAAUUGUCUUCCUGCACAUGUGCCUUUAAAGGUUUUACUGGCAU